Molecule: ribosomal RNA, 253 nt
Filed under: uncultured bacterium
Lineage: Bacteria
Description: partial 16S ribosomal RNA
Rfam family: Bacterial small subunit ribosomal RNA
Source: RNAcentral
UACGAAGGGGGCUAGCGUUGCUCGGAAUCACUGGGCGUAAAGCGCACGUAGGCGGCUUUUUAAGUCAGAGGUGAAACCCUGGAGCUCAACUCCAGAACUGCCUUUGAUACUGGAGAGCUUGAGUCCGGGAGAGGUGAGUGGAACUGCGAGUGUAGAGGUGAAAUUCGUAGAUAUUCGCAAGAACACCAGUGGCGAAGGCGGCUCACUGGCCCGGUACUGACGCUGAGGUGCGAAAGCGUGGGGAGCAAACAGG